CAGCAGUGAGGAAGGCGGGUACGUUAAUAGCGUAUUCGUUUGACGUUAGCUGCAGAAGAAGCACCGGCUAACUCCGUGCCAGCAGCCGCGGUAAUACGGAGGGUGCGAGCGUUAAUCGGAAUUACUGGGCGUAAAGCGCAUGCAGGUGGUUCGUUAAGUCAGAUGUGAAAGCCCGGGGCUCAACCUCGGAACUGCAUUUGAAACUGGCGGACUAGAGUACUGUAGAGGGGGGUAGAAUUUCAGGUGUAGCGGUGAAAUGCGUAGAGAUCUGAAGGAAUACCGGUGGCGAAGGCGGCCCCCUGGACAGAUACUGACACUCAGAUGCGAAAGCGUGGGGAGCAAACAGGAUUAGAUACCCUGGUAGUCCACGCCGUAAACGAUGUCUACUUGGAGGUUGUGGCCUUGAGCCGUGGCUUUCGGAGCUAACGCGUUAAGUAGACCGCCUGGGGAGUACGGUCGCAAGAUUAAAACUCAAAUGAAUUGACGGGGGCCCGCACAAGCGGUGGAGCAUGUGGUUUAAUUCGAUGCAACGCGAAGAACCUUACCUACUCUUGACAUCCAGAGAAGCCAGCGGAGACGCAGGUGUGCCUUCGGGAGCUCUGAGACAGGUGCUGCAUGGCUGUCGUCAGCUCGUGUUGUGAAAUGUUGGGUUAAGUCCCGCGACGAGCGCAACCCUUAUCCUUGUUUGUCAGCGAGUAAUGUCGGGAACU
This 710-nucleotide ribosomal RNA is filed under the name Vibrio mediterranei. RNAcentral describes it as "bacterial SSU rRNA". It matches the Rfam family "Bacterial small subunit ribosomal RNA", at positions 434 to 1139 of the family's 1533-position model. The record is from RNAcentral. Lineage: Bacteria; Pseudomonadati; Pseudomonadota; Gammaproteobacteria; Vibrionales; Vibrionaceae.